Cornus florida is the source of this 4149-nucleotide long non-coding RNA. RefSeq lists it as uncharacterized. NCBI's taxonomy places the organism in Eukaryota, Viridiplantae, Streptophyta, Magnoliopsida, Cornales, Cornaceae. The record is from RefSeq and is a predicted model, not a curated record. The transcript has 3 exons.
CGAUUUAAAAAUAACCUUGAUAGAUGACCCUUUAUACCAUGGUUUUAAAACCAUGGUAGAAAGAAUAUUUAUUGUGAAUUUAUUUUCACGGUUAUACGUGGAUCUUAUUCCUACUGGUUUCUUUAAAAAAAAAUUAAAAAAAAAAAACAUAUUUUACAUACAAAAGUAUAUAUACUCCAAUUUUAGGGCAAAUCAUUUCAGCCUCCCAAAUCACCUCCAUAUCUGUUCUCGUUCUCAACUCUGCACUUGCCCUCCCUCUGUCUCUGCAACUGCAAACUACAAAAUCUACAAGAAUCAGAUCAGCCUCCCAAAUCGCCUCCAUCUCUAUUCUCGUUCUCAACUCUGAACUUGCCGUCUUUCUGUCUCUGCAACUACAAACUACAAAAUCUACAAGAAUCAAAUCAGCCCCAAAUCGCCUCCAUCUCUAUUCUGGUUCUCAACUCUGAACUUGCCCUCUCUCUGUCUCUGCAACUGCAAACUACAAAAUCUACAAGAAUCAGAACCCAUAUCGGCAUAUCAUUUCAAAUUGUUCAAAAAAUCAAAACCCUUAUCCUUCAGUUUCCAUCGCCCGUUGUUCCAGUUCGGGUUCGCCGUUCACAAGCUUCAGCCUCUGGCCCGCUGUCUCUCAACUCUUAAGCCCUCUCUCUGCAACUGCUAACUUGUGCAUUUCAUCAGUUGGCUUUAUUUCUUCAAACUAUGUGAUAUACCCAAAAGUCUUCCAAAGGGGCUGGGAAAAGACAACAACGGGAGCGUCGAUUGCAUGGCCUAUCAAGUACAUCAAAAUUUGUAAGUUAUAUGGUCUUUAUGUUCGAUAAAAUUCUUUUAUGAUUGCACAUUUUUAAUACUUUUUAUACUCAUACUCAGGGGGGUCACAUGCCUUUAAGUGACUAAUUUUGUGGUGUAUCUUGAACUUAAUUACCUUAUUGGUACAUCGGCCCAUGUGGAGGCCAUUUUUAUUUCUUGUUUUAAAAUGUUGAAAGCAUGGGAGUAUGGGAUCAUCGUAUGUGGAGGUCUUGAUUGAUUGUUGUGGAGGAAAGUUGUUAAUAUGUUGUUUAAGGAGUUAACGCAAGUUGGCAACCUAUUUAUUUUUUAUUAUUUAUUUAUUUUUAUUUUUUUUGUAUUAGUUGUUAUUCAUAUUAUAUUCAUAUGAUUGAUCUAAGAAAAAAUGGGGUGGAUUAAUUACUUUGAAAAAAGAAUGCUAUAGUCACAUUUGUAUUCUCUAGUACCACAUAUUUUAGAAUGGGCUUUCCAGUCAGAUUGAACCGCAUAUCUCUUUGAACACUUCUCACACUUGUACUUCUUCUCACCAUACUUUCUUGAGUAGUGCUUCUUGAUUGUAUCCACUUCUCACAGAUACACCUUCCUCUUCACUUCUUUUGUAGUUUUCAGCUUUAGCUUUCAAGGUAGGUUGUGUCAUCUUCUGUGGAGCUGGAGGUUUUGCUCCCUUUGGAAUCCAUUGUUGCAUUCCUCACAAAUGAACCUGUUUGUUGCCAUUAGGGUCUUGGAAGAUAGUGCAAUUACCUCCGCAUCUGGAUCUGUUAUGUAGGAGAAAGAAUUCGAAAUAGUGUGAUAAGUAGAUAAUCUUGUACUUUUAAGAUGAUUAAAGGCAAUGUAUUAGCCAAAAAUUAAUUAAAAAUAAAUAUAUAAAAAGAACUACUGUAUUUAACUUAUAAUACAGAUUAUGAUGGUAAAAGAUUGGAAAGAGAUCAGUUUAGAAUGAGGUGUUUACAAGAAGUCAGACUUGAUAUCCCACUAUUUUAUAAUAUUUGUGUAUAUAUAAUACACAUUUACACACACAUAUAUAUAAAGAGAGAGAAAGGACAAGCUGGGAUUGCAGAAGAGUUGAGAAGUUUGUAGUAAUACUAGUAUGGAGGGUGGCGUCUCUCAUGUCCCUACCUCUUUGUGAUAUGUCCAAGUAUUGUCAACUGUUUUGGUAUUAUAGAAACCAAUCUGAAAACUGUCUACUCUUAAUUCUCUCCUAUAAAUACUAUGCAAUCCCCUUUCUCAAAAUCACCAUUUCAAUCUCUCAUUUUAGCGCUCUCUCUCUCUAUAACAUACAGUUGCAUUACAUAGAAAUAUAUCUCCUACAAUGGUAAUGAUAUCUGAGAGUAAGAGAGAGGAUGAUCAAUUAGAAAUCCAGUACCAGAAAGGAGUGAAACAUUUGUGUGAAAAUGGCAUUACAAAACUUCCUAAGUACAUAUUGCCCAUUUUAGACCGACCCAAUUCAUUCAAAGGAAAACCAUACCAGUCUCAACUUAAUCUUAAGUUGCCCAUCAUUGAUUUUGCUUAAUUGCAGGGUCUAAAUCGGUCCCAAGUCCUCAAGUCCCUCGCCAAUGCUUGUGAAUAAUAUGGAUUCCAAACAACAAAAAACUGAAAAAGCCAUAAACUAGAAGACAUAAUAAGAAUCAAAUUAGGUUUACAAAAGUACCUAACUCACAAAUCUAGAAAUUCCAUGGAUGUCAAAGGGGAAAAAAGAAAAAAAAGAAAAAGAAAAAGAAGAAAGACAGGAUUGAUAUAACCAAUUAGUUGCAUCUGAAAGUAGAGACAGGUUUGCCCCUAGAUUUUCAAUGCUUGUAUGACCUUGCAACACCUAACAUUCACCCCUUCUUUUGGCAACCAAAAAAACUAAGGUGUGAAACUAUAGUGUCAACAAUCAAUUUGGACUUAUGCCACAAAGAUCAACAAUUGAAGCUAUUUAAAUAUAAAAAUAGAUAAAAGUGCCAACAAAAAUAGAUAAAACUCAUAAAUAUAAAAAUUCAAUCCUAAAGUACCUAAUUUGUGUACUUUAAAGGAUGAUGAUAGAAACACAACUAGGUAAACUCCGUGGAAUUGGCUACUAAUCAUGCAAAAUAAUAUAGCUGCUUUUUCCAUAACUUUACUAACUAGGAUGCCCAUUUAUUGUCAACUAUCAUAUCUUCGCAAUAAUACAUGCUCGAAAUUGUAUAAACAAAAUCAGGAUGCCAUUUUUCAUGCAAACGAUGUGCUUACAUAGUUUCAAGAUUGUAUUAUAGAGGAAAAAAUUAUUUAGUAUGAACAUACUUCCUUCUUAUUUUAGUUCUAUUUUCCACUAAAAUAAGACUUUAUACUAGACCUAUUUAAAUUUCCAGAAGAAUGUUCAACUUUUUUUUUUGGGGAAAAGAAGAAUGUUCAACUUAACUGACUUUAAAGAGUAAUUUCCAAGACUUAAAAUUCUCAAGCUCAGACCUUAAGUUGCGCAAACACUAACCACAACCUACGAAUAUAUUGGUACUUCAAAUUAUUAAACCUAUCUAAGAUUUGUCCUUUUCUUCUGAGGUGUUGUGGUUGGAGCUGUUGAAGAAGUGGGUAUGGAAGGUUGCUGCUGCUGCUUCAUCUGGUUUUGAUCAUCUUCUCUUAGUCCGAAGAACGGCGUUGAUGAGGGAUUGCCUAUUGCCUGUGAAUAUAGGGCAGCUUCCAAACUAUGUAGGCUACAAUACCAUUCAUAUAUAGUUCAAGAGUAGUGAAAUAUUUUUCCUAGGAAUAGAGUUUUAAGGGAAAUUUUCUCAGUCAUUCUAGCCGACAACACUUUUAUGAUUUGCUAAUGCUGAUGAAUCCCUUUCAUUUUUCUGAACUUUAUUUGGUUAAAUUAAGGUGAAACAUCAACUUUUCUUCUAUACUUUUAGAAAAAAAGGAGUGCUCAUUUUAUGUGCAUUUGGACUUAAAAGAAAUAACUAAUGGUACAUAGGAUAUAUGGUAGCUAGGGAACUUUGUUUCCCUUUAAGCAAUUCUAGUGGGGUGUGAAACUACCACUUUGAAAAAUAAAGCAUCUAUUUGCACUACCAAUCAUUAUGAUUCUUUGUUGGCCAUUUAAAGUGUUCUAAUUUUGAUGAAGAGUAACCCUAUAAUGAAAGAAGUUAUAAAUAAUCAAACAUUUUCUUCUCAUGACAUGAAAAAUAUAUUUAAUUAUUGAGAAUGGCUUGAUUGUACCUAUGAUUAAAAUUUAUUAGUAUUUAAUUAGAGACUUUUUUUAUCAACUAUACACACACACACACACACAUAUAUAUAUAUGCAUGGAAAUGAUAUCUUUCUUCUAUGAUUUCUAUCUUUUUGUUUCUGUUGUGUUGUUUUGUUCAUUGUCUCUAUCUAUCAUGAAUGUUCUUUUAUGUGUGUGUGUGUGUGGUGGGGGUGGGG